GGAAGUGCAACAAGGCUGCAAGCACGUGAGAAUAAGACAAGAAACGGCGUCUGGGACCGGAGAAGUUAUUUAUUUUGCUGCUUCUGAUUCUUUCGCUCGUGAUGGAAAUAAGGGGAAGAAAGACCCUAUUCCGGCCAUCUAGGUUGCGGACAAAAGGGAAGGGAGGAAGGAAGCGAGAAUACUUUUUCUAAGGGUACCCUGAAAAAAGGAGGAGGAGGAGGAGGAGGAGGAAAAGUCAACCUGCUUUGAAGACAAUGACAUCUACUUUCAUACUGUUGCUAAGAAAACUCCAAGGAAGUAUCCAUGUAGUCACCAUGAGUCAGGAGUCAAGUCCAGAAACUACUUAUUUGAGGUGUAUACAAUAUCUAUCUAGGACAGCCAUGAGAAAACCAGCACUUCUCAUCGAAAAACAUACCUUUAUGGGGGCAUGGAGAACAAUUAGUAAAGUAAAACAUUCAAAGAA
This is a long non-coding RNA of Crotalus tigris (Tiger rattlesnake), 463 nucleotides long. RefSeq lists it as uncharacterized. The record is from RefSeq and is a predicted model, not a curated record. The transcript has 3 exons. Lineage: Eukaryota; Metazoa; Chordata; Lepidosauria; Squamata; Viperidae.